This 162-nucleotide small RNA is filed under the name Paenibacillus sp. Its description in RNAcentral is "c-di-AMP sequence". It matches the Rfam family "c-di-AMP riboswitch aptamer (ydaO/yuaA leader)". From Rfam's summary of the family: This family represents a conserved RNA structure found upstream of the ydaO and yuaA genes in Bacillus subtilis and related genes in other bacteria. The record is from RNAcentral. Lineage: Bacteria; Bacillati; Bacillota; Bacilli; Caryophanales; Paenibacillaceae.
AAACUAUUUACGCUGAAUUUUUCGAAUGAAAAAGCGGGGGAACCAUCGCGAUCGAUCGAAAUCGAUUCGCAAGGGGUGAAUCCAGGGAUUUGUAACCCUGGUAGGGCUUUCUCUCUAGCCCGAAUCCGACAGCUAACCUCGUAAGCGAAUAAAGGAGAGAUG